Molecule: long non-coding RNA, 987 nt
Filed under: Homo sapiens (human)
Lineage: Eukaryota; Metazoa; Chordata; Mammalia; Primates; Hominidae
Description: HSALNT0194664
Source: RNAcentral
UCUAGAAUUACCCUGAGAAGCUUACAAGCAUCCUCUCAAGACAGAGCUGUAAAGCCCUUCUGGGAGGGUAAUUACUUGGCCCAAUAGAGAGGACACUGUCAUUAAUACUCAGCUGGUCCAACGCUGUCCCAAAUCCCUGGCUGGGUUCAGGGAUAAGCCUUAAAACCAGAGUGGAGGCUGUAUCCCUAAAAGGAAACAAAGCUCUGUCUUCAGCCAGACACAGACAUUCAGGUGCAACAUUGCCUGUACUUUUAUGUUGCUGUGAGCCCUACAUCAAAAAGAGAAUGAAAGCUGAUCUAUUUACUCCUGGCAGAGAAGAAAGGAGGAAGGACGUCCAGGUGCUACCAGAAAACCAUUUGUGAGGACAUGGACCAGUGCCAAGGUCACAGCCCACCUGAAUAGAACUUGAAAUCCAGGCACACCCAGUCCAGGGGAGCCCUGAGUUCUUCCUGAACUUAAACACUGGGUUUAAAAAAAAAAAAACAGUCACAGGUGCGGGGACACUGGUCCCCUGCCUGCUGCGAAGUAGAUAACGCGAGGACAGCCUCAAAACAACUCCAGACGCUUCGGGUGCCUGAGCCUCACUCGGUGGGGGCGGCGCAGAGGUCCACGUGCAGUACGCGAGCUGGGGAGGUGCGGGAGCCCGCGCUCUGCCCGUGCGCCGCCGACCCACUCACUGCCGCUCGGGGCUUUGGGUUCCCCCCAUGCAAAAGGAGGACCAUGCUAUGUCAUCAAGGGCUGAUGCGAAGAAGAACCCAGAAGCAGGCGUCAAUAAGUAACGAAAGAAUGGGGGUAGCCGUGCCUAAUAUCGUUGCUGCCGUGGCAAUUACUGCAACGGAGGCUUGAGAGUUAGGGCGCCAGAAACGCAAACUUUCCAGGGGACCAAACUCAUCCAAGCCUCCUAAGGGGCCUGUGGAGACCUCUGCCCGCUCUGGGCCCCGCCGCCGUCCGCGGUCCGCGCCACCUUUCCCGCGGCUGGCUCCAGGC